Molecule: ribosomal RNA, 611 nt
Filed under: Bacillus siamensis
Lineage: Bacteria; Bacillati; Bacillota; Bacilli; Caryophanales; Bacillaceae
Description: bacterial SSU rRNA
Rfam family: Bacterial small subunit ribosomal RNA
Source: RNAcentral
AUGUUAGCGGCGGACGGGUGAGUAACACGUGGGUAACCUGCCUGUAAGACUGGGAUAACUCCGGGAAACCGGGGCUAAUACCGGAUGGUUGUUUGAACCGCAUGGUUCAGACAUAAAAGGUGGCUUCGGCUACCACUUACAGAUGGACCCGCGGCGCAUUAGCUAGUUGGUGAGGUAACGGCUCACCAAGGCGACGAUGCGUAGCCGACCUGAGAGGGUGAUCGGCCACACUGGGACUGAGACACGGCCCAGACUCCUACGGGAGGCAGCAGUAGGGAAUCUUCCGCAAUGGACGAAAGUCUGACGGAGCAACGCCGCGUGAGUGAUGAAGGUUUUCGGAUCGUAAAGCUCUGUUGUUAGGGAAGAACAAGUGCCGUUCAAAUAGGGCGGCACCUUGACGGUACCUAACCAGAAAGCCACGGCUAACUACGUGCCAGCAGCCGCGGUAAUACGUAGGUGGCAAGCGUUGUCCGGAAUUAUUGGGCGUAAAGGGCUCGCAGGCGGUUUCUUAAGUCUGAUGUGAAAGCCCCCGGCUCAACCGGGGAGGGUCAUUGGAAACUGGGGAACUUGAGUGCAGAAGAGGAGAGUGGAAUUCCACGUGUAGCGGUGAA